This 813-nucleotide non-coding RNA is filed under the name Pongo abelii (Sumatran orangutan). The record is from RNAcentral. Lineage: Eukaryota; Metazoa; Chordata; Mammalia; Primates; Hominidae.
GAACACAAAAUGGCGACACGUGGUUAGCAUUCGUCGCCAACGAGAAAUUGGGGUCGGCCCGAAAGCUCUAGAAUGCACCCCUAUUCCUCCCCGGGGCCAUUCCCGCUCAACGAGUUUUAUGACCUAAAAAACCCCACAGGCUGGUCUGAAGGUCGGAGGCCUAAUUUUAACGCGUUUUCCUCCCUUUAAUUUGAAACGGGAACGCGAAUAACUAAAAUAGGAAGACACUUAAAGAUGAAGUGCUUAAUUCAAGGUCACAGAAUGUCGGGGAUGGACCUCCAGAUUUCCUUACUGGAAAACAAGCUCAGGGCUCCCACUGAUUGUACAUUAUGAGACAGAGUCUUCUUGCUAUGUUGCCCAGGCUGGUCUUGAACUCCUAACCUCAAGCGAUCCUCCCAUCUUGGCCUCCCAGGUGUCAGGAUUACAGGCAUGUGCUAUCACACCCAACCUGAUACAUUGCCUUUAUAAAUUUUUUUUUCUUUAUUCUAAAAAACAGAAAAAACAAAACUGGAUACAUGUGCAGAACAUGCAGACCAAGUGUGUUGGGGACUUGAGAUAUGUACAUGAGUGUUUGUGAUGUUUCCUGGUGAAAGCACAGGUGAGACGUGGUCUUGUAACACAGUGGUUAAGAAUGUGACUUUGGAGCCAGCCUGCUAGGGGCUGAAUUCUGACUCAGCCAUUUAUUAACUGUGUGACCUUAGGCUGGCGUGCAAUGGCGUGAUCUCGGCUCACCACAACCUCUGCUUCCCGGGUUCAAGCGAUUCUCCUGCCUCAGCCUCCCGAGUACCUGGGACUACAGGCACUCGCCACCAU